RNAcentral lists this ribosomal RNA (720 nucleotides) under Bacillus subtilis. Its description in RNAcentral is "bacterial SSU rRNA". It matches the Rfam family "Bacterial small subunit ribosomal RNA", at positions 84 to 789 of the family's 1533-position model. Lineage: Bacteria; Bacillati; Bacillota; Bacilli; Caryophanales; Bacillaceae. The record is from RNAcentral.
CCCUGAUGUUAGCGGCGGACGGGUGAGUAACACGUGGGUAACCUGCCUGUAAGACUGGGAUAACUCCGGGAAACCGGGGCUAAUACCGGAUGCUUGUUUGAACCGCAUGGUUCAAACAUAAAAGGUGGCUUCGGCUACCACUUACAGAUGGACCCGCGGCGCAUUAGCUAGUUGGUGAGGUAAUGGCUCACCAAGGCAACGAUGCGUAGCCGACCUGAGAGGGUGAUCGGCCACACUGGGACUGAGACACGGCCCAGACUCCUACGGGAGGCAGCAGUAGGGAAUCUUCCGCAAUGGACGAAAGUCUGACGGAGCAACGCCGCGUGAGUGAUGAAGGUUUUCGGAUCGUAAAGCUCUGUUGUUAGGGAAGAACAAGUACCGUUCGAAUAGGGCGGUACCUUGACGGUACCUAACCAGAAAGCCACGGCUAACUACGUGCCAGCAGCCGCGGUAAUACGUAGGUGGCAAGCGUUGUCCGGAAUUAUUGGGCGUAAAGGGCUCGCAGGCGGUUCCUUAAGUCUGAUGUGAAAGCCCCCGGCUCAACCGGGGAGGGUCAUUGGAAACUGGGGAACUUGAGUGCAGAAGAGGAGAGUGGAAUUCCACGUGUAGCGGUGAAAUGCGUAGAGAUGUGGAGGAACACCAGUGGCGAAGGCGACUCUCUGGUCUGUAACUGACGCUGAGGAGCGAAAGCGUGGGGAGCGAACAGGAUUAGAUACCCUG